AGCUUUUUGGAUCUGUGCUGAGAUUUCGUCAGACGUCGACCCAUUAGGGCUGAUCAGACUUCUAAGAUAAAUGAAGUU
Molecule: microRNA precursor, 78 nt
Filed under: Schistosoma margrebowiei
Lineage: Eukaryota; Metazoa; Platyhelminthes; Trematoda; Strigeidida; Schistosomatidae
Description: mir-3492 microRNA precursor family
Rfam family: mir-3492 microRNA precursor family
Source: Rfam by way of RNAcentral